GGGUUGUGAGGUUAAGCGACUAAGCGUACACGGUGGAUGCCCUGGCAGUCAGAGGCGAUGAAGGACGUGCUAAUCUGCGAUAAGCGUCGGUAAGGUGAUAUGAACCGUUAUAACCGGCGAUUUCCGAAUGGGGAAACCCAGUGUGUUUCGACACACUAUCAUUAACUGAAUCCAUAGGUUAAUGAGGCGAACCGGGGGAACUGAAACAUCUAAGUACCCCGAGGAAAAGAAAUCAACCGAGAUUCCCCCAGUAGCGGCGAGCGAACGGGGAGCAGCCCAGAGCCUGAAUCAGUGUGUGUGUUAGUGGAAGCGUCUGGAAAGGCGCGCGAUACAGGGUGACAGCCCCGUACACAAAAAUGCACAUGCUGUGAGCUCGAUGAGUAGGGCGGGACACGUGGUAUCCUGUCUGAAUAUGGGGGGACCAUCCUCCAAGGCUAAAUACUCCUGACUGACCGAUAGUGAACCAGUACCGUGAGGGAAAGGCGAAAAGAACCCCGGCGAGGGGAGUGAAAAAGAACCUGAAACCGUGUACGUACAAGCAGUGGGAGCCUCUUUAUGGGGUGACUGCGUACCUUUUGUAUAAUGGGUCAGCGACUUAUAUUCUGUAGCAAGGUUAACCGAAUAGGGGAGCCGAAGGGAAACCGAGUCUUAACUGGGCGUUAAGUUGCAGGGUAUAGACCCGAAACCCGGUGAUCUAGCCAUGGGCAGGUUGAAGGUUGGGUAACACUAACUGGAGGACCGAACCGACUAAUGUUGAAAAAUUAGCGGAUGACUUGUGGCUGGGGGUGAAAGGCCAAUCAAACCGGGAGAUAGCUGGUUCUCCCCGAAAGCUAUUUAGGUAGCGCCUCGUGAACUCAUCUCCGGGGGUAGAGCACUGUUUCGGCAAGGGGGUCAUCCCGACUUACCAACCCGAUGCAAACUGCGAAUACCGGAGAAUGUUAUCACGGGAGACACACGGCGGGUGCUAACGUCCGUCGUGAAGAGGGAAACAACCCAGACCGCCAGCUAAGGUCCCAAAGUCAUGGUUAAGUGGGAAACGAUGUGGGAAGGCCCAGACAGCCAGGAUGUUGGCUUAGAAGCAGCCAUCAUUUAAAGAAAGCGUAAUAGCUCACUGGUCGAGUCGGCCUGCGCGGAAGAUGUAACGGGGCUAAACCAUGCACCGAAGCUGCGGCAGCGACACUAUGUGUUGUUGGGUAGGGGAGCGUUCUGUAAGCCUGUGAAGGUGUACUGUGAGGUAUGCUGGAGGUAUCAGAAGUGCGAAUGCUGACAUAAGUAACGAUAAAGCGGGUGAAAAGCCCGCUCGCCGGAAGACCAAGGGUUCCUGUCCAACGUUAAUCGGGGCAGGGUGAGUCGACCCCUAAGGCGAGGCCGAAAGGCGUAGUCGAUGGGAAACAGGUUAAUAUUCCUGUACUUGGUGUUACUGCGAAGGGGGGACGGAGAAGGCUAUGUUGGCCGGGCGACGGUUGUCCCGGUUUAAGCGUGUAGGCUGGUUUUCCAGGCAAAUCCGGAAAAUCAAGGCUGAGGCGUGAUGACGAGGCACUACGGUGCUGAAGCAACAAAUGCCCUGCUUCCAGGAAAAGCCUCUAAGCAUCAGGUAACAUCAAAUCGUACCCCAAACCGACACAGGUGGUCAGGUAGAGAAUACCAAGGCGCUUGAGAGAACUCGGGUGAAGGAACUAGGCAAAAUGGUGCCGUAACUUCGGGAGAAGGCACGCUGAUAUGUAGGUGAAGUCCCUCGCGGAUGGAGCUGAAAUCAGUCGAAGAUACCAGCUGGCUGCAACUGUUUAUUAAAAACACAGCACUGUGCAAACACGAAAGUGGACGUAUACGGUGUGACGCCUGCCCGGUGCCGGAAGGUUAAUUGAUGGGGUCAGCGCAAGCGAAGCUCUUGAUCGAAGCCCCGGUAAACGGCGGCCGUAACUAUAACGGUCCUAAGGUAGCGAAAUUCCUUGUCGGGUAAGUUCCGACCUGCACGAAUGGCGUAAUGAUGGCCAGGCUGUCUCCACCCGAGACUCAGUGAAAUUGAACUCGCUGUGAAGAUGCAGUGUACCCGCGGCAAGACGGAAAGACCCCGUGAACCUUUACUAUAGCUUGACACUGAACAUUGAGCCUUGAUGUGUAGGAUAGGUGGGAGGCUUGGAAGUGUGGACGCCAGUCUGCAUGGAGCCGACCUUGAAAUACCACCCUUUAAUGUUUGAUGUUCUAACGUUGACCCGUAAUCCGGGUUGCGGACAGUGUCUGGUGGGUAGUUUGACUGGGGCGGUCUCCUCCUAAAGAGUAACGGAGGAGCACGAAGGUUGGCUAAUCCUGGUCGGACAUCAGGAGGUUAGUGCAAUGGCAUAAGCCAGCUUGACUGCGAGCGUGACGGCGCGAGCAGGUGCGAAAGCAGGUCAUAGUGAUCCGGUGGUUCUGAAUGGAAGGGCCAUCGCUCAACGGAUAAAAGGUACUCCGGGGAUAACAGGCUGAUACCGCCCAAGAGUUCAUAUCGACGGCGGUGUUUGGCACCUCGAUGUCGGCUCAUCACAUCCUGGGGCUGAAGUAGGUCCCAAGGGUAUGGCUGUUCGCCAUUUAAAGUGGUACGCGAGCUGGGUUUAGAACGUCGUGAGACAGUUCGGUCCCUAUCUGCCGUGGGCGCUGGAGAACUGAGGGGGGCUGCUCCUAGUACGAGAGGACCGGAGUGGACGCAUCACUGGUGUUCGGGUUGUCAUGCCAAUGGCACUGCCCGGUAGCUAAAUGCGGAAGAGAUAAGUGCUGAAAGCAUCUAAGCACGAAACUUGCCCCGAGAUGAGUUCUCCCUGACUCCUUGAGAGUCCUGAAGGAACGUUGAAGACGACGACGUUGAUAGGCCGGGUGUGUAAGCGCAGCGAUGCGUUGAGCUAACCGGUACUAAUGAACCGUGAGGCUUAACCUUACAACGCCGAAG
RNAcentral lists this ribosomal RNA (2923 nucleotides) under Escherichia coli. RNAcentral's name for it is "23S ribosomal RNA". It matches the Rfam family "Bacterial large subunit ribosomal RNA". The record is from RNAcentral. Lineage: Bacteria; Pseudomonadati; Pseudomonadota; Gammaproteobacteria; Enterobacterales; Enterobacteriaceae.